GAUGAACGCUAGCGGCAGGCCUAAUACAUGCAAGUCGAACGGGAUCCAGAUCAAAGCUUGCUUUGGUCUGGUGAGAGUGGCGCACGGGUGCGUAACGCGUGAGCAACCUACCCUUGUCAGGGGGAUAGCCCGGCGAAGGUCGGAUUAAUACCGCAUGACAUCAUUGAGAGGCAUCUUUCGAUGAUCAAAGAUUUAUCGGACAAGGAUGGGCUCGCGUGACAUUAGCUAGUUGGUAAGGUAACGGCUUACCAAGGCUGCGAUGUCUAGGGGCUCUGAGAGGAGAAUCCCCCACACUGGUACUGAGACACGGACCAGACUCCUACGGGAGGCAGCAGUAAGGAAUAUUGGUCAAUGGACGGAAGUCUGAACCAGCCAUGCCGCGUGCAGGAGGACGGCCCCAUGGGUUGUAAACUACUUUUAUACGGGAACAAACGUCGGUACGUGUACCGGUCUGAGUGUACCGUAAGAAUAAGGAUCGGCUAACUCCGUG
Molecule: ribosomal RNA, 490 nt
Filed under: uncultured bacterium
Lineage: Bacteria
Description: partial 16S ribosomal RNA
Rfam family: Bacterial small subunit ribosomal RNA
Source: RNAcentral